Long non-coding RNA from Callithrix jacchus (white-tufted-ear marmoset), 3467 nucleotides. RefSeq lists it as uncharacterized. The record is from RefSeq and is a predicted model, not a curated record. Lineage: Eukaryota; Metazoa; Chordata; Mammalia; Primates; Cebidae.
CAUAGUUAUUUCCUCCCCUAUCAUACCUCUUCACAACGAGCCUUUGUGGCUCCUCCCGUCAACAGAUGGAGUCUAUUUCUCCACCCCUUGAAUCCACGCUGGUCUUGCGACUUGGCCAAUAGAAUGUGGUGCAAUCCAGCCCAGGCCUCAAGAGGCUCAGCACACUUCCAUUGCUCCCUUGGAAAUCUGCCCAGCCUGUGCUCUGAACAUGCCUGGGCCAGUCUCCCGGAGGAGGUGAGAAUGUAAAGCAGAAGGAGCCAUUCCUGCUGAGACCAUCGGGACCAGCUAGUGCCCAGCUGAGCUGGCAGCUUGCUCCAGAUGCAGAGGCGAGGCCCAGUUGAGGCCACCUGAGCCCAACCCAGAUCCAAAGAACCAUUCAGACCAUCCACAGACUUUUCUGGAGCUGGGAAGUGCAAGACUGAGGAGCUGCAUCUGAUGAAGGCCUUCCUGCUGGUGGGGCCUCUCUGCAGAGUCCUGAGGUGCUGCAGGGGAUCUCGUGCAGAGGACUGCCGUGACAAACCACCAUAAACCUCGUGGCCAAUAACACAGAAAUUCAUCCUCUCAUGGUUCUGAGGGCCAGAAGUCCAAUGUCAAGGUGUCAGCUGGGCCGUGCCCCUCCACAGGUUCCAGAGAAGAUCUUCCCUUUCCUCUUCUGGCUUCCAGUGGCCUUGGGCACUCCUUGGCUUGCGGCUGCAUCAGUCUGUUCCUGCUUCCAUCUUCCCAAGGCCUCUCCCCUCUCACUUAUGAGUCUCUCCUCUGCAUAUCUGUGAUGAGGACAUUUAUUAUUAUAUUUAGAGCCCACCUGGAUAAUCCAAAAUGAUCUCAUCCUGACACUCUUCACUGAAUUAUAUCUGCGGAGUCCUUAUUUUCCAAAUAGGGUCACACUCACAGGUUCUGGGCUUUAGAACAUGAACGCAGCCUUUGCGUUUGGGAAGGGAGCGCUAGUCAGCCCUUUCUGGAGGGUUCUUAUGAUCAGGUACUUGGCAACGUCCUCAGAUGCUCAGUGAGGUCGCACCUGCAAGCAAAGCCCCCGGUUCUAGUCCUGACAGCAAAGGUGAUCGCCCUGGAUCUUGGACCUCAGUCUGCUCAUCUGCAGAAUGGCUAGAUGAGCUCGAGGGUUUCUUCCUUUUGGCACAUUCCCAGAGCAGAUCCUGUGGGUCCCUCGGCAUCUGUGCUGCUGAUUUGGAUCUACUCCAGGGCUUCACAAAUAUACAUAUCUGUAUACAUACAACAUAUAGUUUAUUGUAGUUAAAUAUACAUAACAUAAAAUUCACCAUAUUAACCUUUUCAUUUUGUUUUGAGUCAGGGUCUUGUUCUGUCACCCAGGCUGGAGUGCAGUGGCACCAUCAUGGCUCACUGCAGCCUUGACCCGCUUCAGCCUCCUGAGCAGCUAGGACUGCAGAUGUGCACCACCACGCCCAGCUAACUCUUGUAGUUUCUUGUAGAGACAGAAUCUCAUUAUGCUGCCCAGUCUGGUCUCAGACUUGUGGGCCCAAGCAAUCCACCUGCUCAGCCUCCCAAAAUGCUGGGAUUACAGGCAUGAGCCACUGUGCCUGGCCCCACUUUAACCAUUUUUAAGAGUGAAAUUCAGUGGCACUAAGCACUUUCACAUGGUUAAUGCAGCCAUCACCCAUUACCCAUAUCAUCUUUCACAAAGAGGAAACAAGAUCAUUCUCAGGCUCUGGGACCUCAGGGUGUCCAUCAUGGGUAGAUCGUCUUCUGGAUGAUGUCUCCACCACAGAGUUCACAUCCUGGUGGAGAUGCAAAGAUCAGGAUGUCAGAAAGGAGGCAGACAGGUCUGGGAACAGCGGCGAACCCACAGCAAUACCUCCAGCUCCUCCUCCUGCAGGCUCUGCCCCAUCUUGUUGCCAUGUCAUCUCCUUGCUGUCCACCCAUGCUCUUUUUUCCCCUCUGGACCAGCGGUUCUGAAAGUCUGGUCCCUGGACCAGCAGCAUCAGCACCUCCUGGGAGCUUGUUAGAAAAGCACAUUCUCUGUGUCCACGCCCUACCCACUAAUCAGAAAUGAGGGUGCCGCAUGGUGGCUGUUUCACAGCCCUCCUGGGAUUCUGAUCCAUACUAAAGUGUGGGAAGCACUGCUCUGGAUCUGCAGAGAAAUCCUGCUUUCAAAGAACUCGCUAACGCCCCUACAAAACUACAAUUUUUGUGACUAGAAGCUCUAUGAAUACCUGAAACAAGGAAGCCGACAGAUUUAGUAAGAUCAUGCAGGUCAUGAUGGCAAAUGGGCUGCCCGAAGGCAGGGCUUUCCCCUGGGUGUCUGCAUUUGUCCUGCACACGUUUGAGAACAUUUAAUUAGUUGUCAGUGCUAAAGAAAUAGGAAAUAUCACCCAGAAAUUAAGAUUUCGGUAUUAUUUGAAAUAAUACUGUCUGGCACUCCUGGCCAGGCAUGGGCAACCAUGAUUUGAUGCAGGGUCUGCCAGGCAGCCCAAGUCCCCCCACUCCCCAAGGCAAGCCCGCCUGGUGAGCCCCCCAUUUUUAUCUGCACUGACUACUAUAGGGCCUUCGAGUUGUCAACCUCUCGAAGGUUUGGGGGGGCCAUAAACUGUAGCCCACUGUGAUGGUUAAUGUUACAUGUCAGCUUGGCUAGGCCAUGGCAUCCAAAUAUUUGGUCAAACACUAGUUUAGAUGUUGUGAAGAUAAUUUCUUUUAGGUGAGAGUAACAGUUAAAUCAGUGGACUUUGACAAAAGCAGAUUGCCCUCCAUAAUGUGGGUGGUCUCCAUUAUGUGGGUGGGCCUCGUCCCAUCAGUUGAAGGCCUUCAGAGUAAAAAGACUGACUCCCUGGAGGAAAGGGAGUUCUGCCAGCCUCCACAGUCACAUGAGCCAAUUCCUGAAAAUAGGCGUCUCUCUCUCUCUCUCUCUCCAUACAUGCACACACACAAACACACACACACAAACACACACAUCCCAAUGGUUCUAUGUCUCUGUAAAACCCUGAUGAACACCCCCACGCUGUGAGUAUUAUUAUUUGUUGGUGCCCCUGGACCAUUCAGGGACCAAGAGUUGUAAGAACUCUUCUUCUGUUUGCUGGCAGCUCUUAGGAAUACAUGCUUAUUGGCCAGGCACAGUGGCUCAAGCCUGUAAUCCCGGCCCUUUGGGAGGCCGAGGCGGGUGGAUCACAGUCAAGAGAUCGAGACCAUCCUGGUCAACAUGGUGAAACCCCGUCUCUACUAAAAAAUACAAAAACUUAGCUGGGCAUGGUGGCGCGUGCCUGUAAUCCCAGCUACCCGGGAGGCUGAGGCAGGAGAAUUGCCUGAACCCAGGAGGCGGAGGUUGCGGUGAGCCAAGAUCGCGCCAUUGCACUCCAGCCUAGGUAACAAGAACAAAACUCCGUCUCAAAAAAUAAAAAGGAACACAUGCUUAUUCAAACCAUGCCCUCAGAGAUGGAGGCUGCAGAGCUAAUGAGUAGUGGUAUAAUAAUAAUAAGAAAUAAAUAAUCCAUAAAAAUCAA